AGCAGGAGCAGACAAAAUUGCAACUCAAAAAUAUACUGCUUGCAUGCAAAUACUGACAUUGUCAUAUCACAAAUCUCACAGUGUAUGAUUUGCAGAAUAUGUAACAUGCAAAUAAUUGUAAGCAGAGGGGUUCUCCAGACUCUCCAAAGCUCUCUAGGAGCCAUUACUUUAAAAAAAAAAAAAAAGGGUGAAUGUGCAUGAUUACUUUGUGAGCAUGAAUUCUUAGCAUUUACUGACUUGUUUUUCUCUUCUGCGAGGAAAUAUCUCCUCUGCUAAACUUUUUUAAUUUCCUGUGUGUUUCCACUUUUACAGUUUCCAGCUCUUAACUGUGUGCCUCAGUCAGCAGGAAUUUUGGUUUCAACACAGCCUGGCUGCUGAGUCUUUGCUGCCAGGAAGAGUCUUCCUGUCCUUCAUUAGGAUUCUGAGCCACGUCUGUAGUCUGAGGAGAACAAAGACAUGAGACGAAGGGGCAGUGAAAGGAAAGCAAGGAAGCACAGACAGUUCCUUAUUUUGCUGAAGGAAAGGAGGAUAAAUGACAGCCAGGAGCCACAGAGAUCCAGGGAUGCAUGGGAUUGCUCCACCAUCCUUGAAGAAUCCACUUCGUGUAUCUUUGUGACUAUUGGGAGCACAGAAAGCGCCAAACCUGCUCUGCCCGUCUGUCUGGCAGUGCUUGGUAGCAGUGGAUUUAGAGCACAGUUCCCAAAACCUCUCAGUAGGGAAUUGUGUGAUAUCAAGUAGUUUGUAGAUGACCUCUGAGACUUAGGCUGUCCAGGACUUGGAAAAAUCAUACUGUAAAGCCACAAGGUGAUUAUCCACAUGCAUGUGCCUGCACUUUUUUAUAGGAAUCAUGGAAAGAUAACAUAUUUUAACUAUAU
RNAcentral lists this long non-coding RNA (875 nucleotides) under Cyanistes caeruleus (blue tit). Its description in RNAcentral is "lncRNA (ENSCCEG00000021331.1)". Lineage: Eukaryota; Metazoa; Chordata; Aves; Passeriformes; Paridae. The record is from RNAcentral.